RNAcentral lists this unclassified non-coding RNA (187 nucleotides) under uncultured Wilcoxina. RNAcentral's name for it is "sequence contains ITS1". The record is from RNAcentral. Lineage: Eukaryota; Fungi; Ascomycota; Pezizomycetes; Pezizales; Pyronemataceae.
AACGCAAUUGGUUAUACAUUUCACGUAUCAACUGCAUAAACCCAUUCCGAGUACCUUGCCUGUUGCUUCCAUGGGGCCUGACCUUGGUCACUCUUGAGAUGUGAAUCCCAGGAGAGUUCCCAUGGGAGGUAAUCAUUAAAUUCAUGUAUCCAAUGUCUUCUGUCUGAACUGUUUAUAACGAAUGUUA